UACGGAGGGGGCGAGCGUUAUUCGGAAUUAUUGGGCGUAAAGGGCGCGUAGGCGGCCCUGCAAGUCAAAGGUGAAAUCCCUCGGCUCAACUGAGGAACUGCCUUUGAAACUGCAGGGCUUGAGGCCGGGAGGGGGUAGCGGAAUUCCCGGUGUAGUGGUGAAAUGCGUAGAUAUCGGGAGGAACACCAGUGGCGAAGGCGACUACCUGGCCCAUUCUUGACGCUGAGGCGCGAAAGCUAGGGGAGCGAACGGG
This 253-nucleotide ribosomal RNA is filed under the name uncultured bacterium. RNAcentral's name for it is "partial 16S ribosomal RNA". It matches the Rfam family "Bacterial small subunit ribosomal RNA", at positions 524 to 776 of the family's 1533-position model. The record is from RNAcentral.